AGCAAAUAAAAUUGUACAUGUAAUAUAUUCAAUGUAAAUAUUGUAUGUUUGUAUUGUGUUCUGUGUUGUUUAAGUGUGUUUUAGUUUUAUACUGCAGAUAUAAAAAAAAAUCGAAACCAUAUUCUCGAAAGGAGUCCAAUCUGGAAUUUCAUGCACAAAUAAGUUUAUCACAAAUUAGAACUAUCACGCGGGCAGAUAUAACACUGUCCCUAACAAGAGUUUGUUUGAAAUCAUGAAACAAAAAUCCGUAAUAGAACCACAUUUGAUAUCACAAAAAUAUCUGCAUAAUCCUUUUUUUUUUUCUAUUAAAAGAAAAAAGAUAUGAGCAAACUACUUUUUGGUCUCUUCAUCCAAAAAAUAGUCAGAUAAUACCAAUCUUUAGAUAUUCAGUCAAAAAAUUUUGUUUCUCAUACUUAUUUCUCUAUAUUUGCAAACAAAAUGUCGUCUGGAUUAUGCAUGAUUCUUGUCUUUCAUAAACAACUAUAUUUACAACUAUAACGUUAAAGAUUACUCAUUAUCCUGUGCCAGCU
This 530-nucleotide long non-coding RNA is filed under the name Mytilus galloprovincialis (Mediterranean mussel). Lineage: Eukaryota; Metazoa; Mollusca; Bivalvia; Mytilida; Mytilidae. The record is from RNAcentral.